RNAcentral lists this ribosomal RNA (468 nucleotides) under uncultured bacterium. RNAcentral describes it as "partial 16S ribosomal RNA". It matches the Rfam family "Bacterial small subunit ribosomal RNA", at positions 28 to 507 of the family's 1533-position model. The record is from RNAcentral.
GACGAACGCUGGCGGCGUGCUUAACACAUGCAAGUCGAACGGAAAGGCCCUGCUUUUGUGGGAUGCUCGAGUGGCGAACGGGUGAGUAACACGUGAGUAACCUGCCCUUGACUUUGGGAUAACUUCAGGAAACUGGGGCUAAUACCGGAUAGGAGCUCCUGCUGCAUGGUGGGGGUUGGAAAGUUUCGGCGGGUGGGGAUGGACUCGCGGCUUAUCAGCUUGUUGGUGGGGUAGUGGCUUACCAAGGCUUUGACGGGUAGCCGGCCUGAGAGGGUGACCGGCCACAUUGGGACUGAGAUACGGCCCAGACUCCUACGGGAGGCAGCAGUGGGGAAUAUUGCACAAUGGGCGGAAGCCUGAUGCAGCAACGCCGCGUGCGGGAUGACGGCCUUCGGGUUGUAAACCGCUUUCGCCUGUGACGAAGCGUGAGUGACGGUAAUGGGUAAAGAAGCACCGGCUAACUACGUG